This 911-nucleotide ribosomal RNA is filed under the name uncultured organism. RNAcentral describes it as "SSU rRNA". It matches the Rfam family "Bacterial small subunit ribosomal RNA", at positions 495 to 1398 of the family's 1533-position model. The record is from RNAcentral.
GGGAUUGUGCCAGCAGCCGCGGUAAUACSGAGGGUAGACAAGCGUUAUCCGGAUUCACUGGGUUUAAARGGUGCGUAGGCGGGCAKGUAAGUUAGUUGUGAAAUCUUCSAGCUUAACUCGGAAACUGCCUUUGAUACUAUCUKUCUUGAAUAUUGUAGUGAGCGCUAAGCGGAAUAUGUUAUGUAGCGGAUGAAAUKCUUAKAUAUGACAWAGAACACCUAUAUGCGAAGGCAGCUUACUACGCAUAUAUUGACGCUGARGCACGAAAGCGUGGGGAUCAAACAGGAUUAGAUACCCUGGUAGUCCACGCCCUAAACGAUGAUUACUCGACGUGCGCSAUACACGGUGCGCGUCUGAGCGAAAGCAUUAAGUAAUCCACCUGGGAAGUACGACCGCAAGGUUGAAACUCAAAGGAAUUGGCGGGAGUCCGCACAAGCGGUGGAGCAUGUGGUUUAAUUCGAUSAUACGCGAGGAACCUUACCUGGGCUAGAAUGCGGUCUGACCGUGGGUGAAAGCUCAUUUUGUAGCAAUACACAGAUCGUAAGGUGCUGCAUGGCUGUCGUCAGCUCGUGCCGUGAGWUGUUGGGUUAAGUCUCCGCAACGAGCGCUAACCCUAUCAUUAGUUGCCAUCAGGUAAAGCUGGGAACUCUAAUGAGACUCCCGUCGUAAGACGUGAGGAAGGAGGGGAUGAUGUCAAGUCAUCAUGGCCUUUAUGCCCAGGGCCACACUACGUGCUACAAUGGGGGGUACAAAGGGCUCGCUACCUGGUGACAGGAUGCUAAUCUCAAAAAAGCCUCUCUCAGUUCAGAUUGCAGGCUGCAACUCGCCUGCAUGAAGCUGGAAUCGCUAGUAAUCGUAGAUCAGCAACGCUACGGUGAAUACGUUCCCGGACUUUGUACUCACCGCCCGUC